AUUGAACGCUGGCGGCAGGCCUAACACAUGCAAGUCGAGCGGCAGCGACUUAACUGAACCUUCGGGGAACGUUAAGGGCGGCGAGCGGCGGACGGGUGAGUAAUGCCUGGGAAUAUGCCCUGAUGUGGGGAUAACUAUUGGAAACGAUAGCUAAUACCGCAUAAUCUCUUCGGAGCAAAGAGGGGGACCUUCGGGCCUCUCGCGUCAGGAUUAGCCCAGGUGGGAUUAGCUUGUUGGUGAGGUAAUGGCUCACCAAGGCAACGAUCCCUAGCUGGUCUGAGAGGAUGAUCAGCCACACUGGAACUGAGACACGGUCCAGACUCCUACGGGAGGCAGCAGUGGGGAAUAUUGCACAAUGGGGGAAACCCUGAUGCAGCCAUGCCGCGUGUGUGAAGAAGGCCUUCGGGUUGUAAAGCACUUUCAGUAGGGAGGAAGGUAGUGUAGUUAACACCUGCAUUAUUUGACGUUACCUACAGAAGAAGCACCGGCUAACUCCGUGCCAGCAGCCGCGGUAAUACGGAGGGUGCGAGCGUUAAUCGGAAUUACUGGGCGUAAAGCGCAUGCAGGCGGCCUGUUAAGUCAGAUGUGAAAGCCUGGGGCUUAACCUCGGAAUUGCAUUUGAAACUGGCAGGCUAGAGUCUUGUAGAGGGGGGUAGAAUUUCAGGUGUAGCGGUGAAAUGCGUAGAGAUCUGAAGGAAUACCAGUGGCGAAGCGGCCCCCUGGACAAAGACUGACGCUCAGAUGCGAAAGCGUGGGGAGCAAACAGG
This 767-nucleotide ribosomal RNA is filed under the name uncultured bacterium. RNAcentral's name for it is "bacterial SSU rRNA". It matches the Rfam family "Bacterial small subunit ribosomal RNA", at positions 28 to 776 of the family's 1533-position model. The record is from RNAcentral.